GUUCGGAAUUACUGGGCGUAAAGCGCGUGUAGGCGGCUUGGCAGGUCGGAUGUGAAAUCCCAGGGCUCAACCCUGGAAGUGCAUUCGAAACCGUUUCGCUAGAGUUCUGGAGAGGAAGGUGGAAUGCUUGGUGUAGAGGUGAAAUUCGUAGAUAUCAAGCGGAACACCGGUGGCGAAGGCGGCCUUCUGGACAGAAACUGACGCUGAGACGCGAAAGCGUGGGGAGCAAACAGG
This 234-nucleotide ribosomal RNA is filed under the name uncultured bacterium. RNAcentral's name for it is "partial 16S ribosomal RNA". It matches the Rfam family "Bacterial small subunit ribosomal RNA", at positions 543 to 776 of the family's 1533-position model. The record is from RNAcentral.